CUGCCAGUUGUCAUAUGCUUGUACUAAAAGAUUAAGCCAUGCAAGUGUAAGUAUAAAUAGACAAAUUAUUGUACUAUGAGACUGCGAAUGGCUCAUUAAAUCAGCAAUCAUUUAUUCGGUGGAUGAAGUAAUUCUAAAAUGGAUAACCGUGGGAAAUCUAGAGCUAAUACAUGCAAAAGAGAAUUCUUUAGAAAAAGGAAUGCAUAUAUUAGAUACAAAUCCAAAAAUACAAAAGGUGAAUCAUAAUAUUUAUAGCAAAUUAUACAGAGGAAGUAAUUCUUCUUGAUAAUAAACCGAUCAAAUUUCUGCCCUAUCAUACUUUGGACGGUAAUGUAGUGGAUUACGGUGGUGAUGACGGGUAACGGAGAAUUAGGGUUUGAUUCCGGAGAGGGAGCAUGAGAAAUGGCUACCACUUCCAAGGAAGGCAGCAGGCGC
Molecule: ribosomal RNA, 435 nt
Filed under: uncultured eukaryote
Lineage: Eukaryota
Description: bacterial SSU rRNA
Rfam family: Eukaryotic small subunit ribosomal RNA
Source: RNAcentral